AAAAUCUUCACAACUUGUUUUUAUUUUAUUUUUAACUUUCUCUUAUUAAAUAAAACAAAUUAAAGAAAUCCAUUUCAUAUAAAAUUUUAAUUCUCUGUUUUUCUUUCUCGUAUAUUAAAAAUAUUUUUUCUUCCUCCUUUAUCAUUAAUUAAAAAAAUUAAAGUGUAUUCAAAUAAUUUUUAAACAAUUAUAAAUUAUAGUACUAGGCAGUUAUCAUUUUCAAGGAAAAAGAAAUGGUAGUCUUAUUGGUAAAUUUCUUAGAAGUGGGGCCAUUAACCAAAUCUAAGUGAUUUAUGAUUCCCGGGUAAUGGGCUUCUAAAUGUUUCACCCAAUUUUUUUUUUUUACACUAUAUCAAUAUUUUUUUAAAAAAUACAUGCAUAAUAAAUAUCAAAUUUAUCUUUUAAUAAAUUAUAAUUUUACUUUCUUUUUUCUCUUUUUUUCUUUUUCUUUUUUUCUCUUUCAUCUUUUUUUCCUCUUAUACUCAAUUGAAU
RNAcentral lists this long non-coding RNA (492 nucleotides) under Durio zibethinus. Its description in RNAcentral is "long non-coding RNA (DZIB_LNC001541)". Lineage: Eukaryota; Viridiplantae; Streptophyta; Magnoliopsida; Malvales; Malvaceae. The record is from RNAcentral.